GAGCAAGAAACUUGAUAGCAGACUGUUGAAAUGAGAUAUUAGAUUUAGAUAGAGCUAGAGAGGAAAAACUAUACGAAAAAAUAUGAGUAGUUUGGGAGGCCUAGUGAUCAUUCUUUCAAGCUUUCUCUUUGUGUUUCUUCUUCUCUUAGCUUUCCUCAACAUCUUUUACAAACUAUGGUGGGCUCCAACUCGCAUACAGAAUCUGAUGGCUUUGCAGGGAAUCAAAGGCCCUUCCUACAGACCUAUCCAUGGAAACACCAAAUAAAUCUUGAACAUGAAAAGGGAAAUUAUUGGCAGGCCCAUGAGUUUAUCCCCUGACAUAAACAAACCCUUUCAUUAACAGUGGUUUUUAAAAAGUUUUUGUGGCUAAGAAUCUUCGGUCAUUUUUAAUUUAAAUGCAAUUGCAGGGAUGAAUUUCUUCAGUGGUAUGGCUCUCAAGCUCAGUUGGUCAUUGUGGAACCUGAGUUGUGCAAAGAGAUACUGAAUAACAAAGAUGGAGCUUUUGCAAAAAGGAAGCCCCAAAGCUAUGUCAAGAAACUUUUAGGAGAUGGUCUUGCGACAAUCGAAGGUGAAAAAUGGGGAAAAUUGCGAAAGCUGGCUAACCAUGCCUUCCAUGCAGAGAGCUUAAAAAGCAUGGUUCCAGAAAUGGUAGCUAGUGCCGAGACGAUGCUAGAGGGGUGGAAAAACAAUGAAGGAAAAGAGAUUGAGGUAUUCGAACCAUUUAGGAUGUUCACUUCUGAAGUGAUUUCAAGGACUGCUUUUGGCAGCAGCUACUUGGAAGGACAGAACUUAUUUGAGAAUUUAAUGAAGUUAUCCUUUUUAAUAUUCAAAAAUGCUCUCACUGUCAGAUUUCCUGGAAUCAGUAAGUUUUUCAAAACUAGCGAUGAGAUCGAAUCAGAGAAGCUUCAGAAAGGAAUGCACAACUCCAUAAUAGGGAUUGUUGAGAAAAGAGAAAAGAAGGCAAUGGAUGGAGAAGAAGACAGCUUUGGGAGUGAUUUUCUUGGAUUACUUUUAAAAGCUCAUCAUGAUACCAAUGACAGCCAGAGAAUUUCGGUUGAUGAUUUGGUUGAUGAGUGCAAGACAUUUUACUUUGCCGGACAAGAAACCACUAAUAGUAUGCUUGCAUGGACUGUGUUUCUCCUGGCACUUAAUACAGAUUGGCAGGAGGAAGCAAGAAAGGAGAUGAGUAUGAUCAUCAAUGAGUCUUUAAGGUUAUAUCCUCCUGUUGUUUCCGUGGAGAGGAAGGUUAGAAGGGAAGUUAGACUGGGGAAGCUCAUUGUUCCUGCUAAUGUUGAAUUGAUAAUCCCAAUUCUAGCAAUCCAUCAUGAUCCUGAAUUUUGGGGAGAAGAUGUGCAACUUUUCAAACCAGAGCGAUUCGAGGAAGGGGUUGCUAAAGCUACUCACAAUAACAUAGCUGCAUUCUUACCCUUUGGAAUGGGACCCCGGACAUGUGUGGCCUUCAACUUUGCGAUCACAGAAGCAAAGAUUGCUCUGUCAAUGAUUCUCCAACGCUACACCUUCACUCUUUCCCCUGCUUAUGUUCACUCCCCGUAUGAGUAUCUCACAGUUCGUCCACAACAUGGAGUUCAGGUUGCGCUGCACUCUCUUUGAACUGUCAAAAGUACCACCAGAAUUGCCCAUAAUCUUGAUAUUGGUGUUUAUAGUAUAUAGUAUACCGGGCAAGAUAGCUUAAAUAAUAUACAGGGCAACCUCUGAGGCCCUGUUAUGAGGUGGCACUAGCUCCCCCUUUAUCUUUUUCUUUGUUUUUCGCUGCUUUGCUGCUUGUAA
This is an RNA transcript of Prunus persica (peach), 1788 nucleotides long. It is a transcript of the gene named cytochrome P450 CYP749A22, with no coding region annotated. The transcript is spliced from 6 exons. NCBI's taxonomy places the organism in Eukaryota, Viridiplantae, Streptophyta, Magnoliopsida, Rosales, Rosaceae. The record is from RefSeq and is a predicted model, not a curated record.